UUGACGNGAANAUGGUGCUUGCACCAAUUUGAAGAGCAGCGAACGGGUGAGUAACGCGUGGGGAAUCUGCCUUUGAGCGGGGGACAACAUUUGGAAACGAAUGCUAAUACCGCAUAACAACUUUAAACAUAAGUUUUAAGUUUGAAAGAUGCAAUUGCAUCACUCAAAGAUGAUCCCGCGUUGUAUUAGCUAGUUGGUGAGGUAAAGGCUCACCAAGGCGAUGAUACAUAGCCGACCUGAGAGGGUGAUCGGCCACAUUGGGACUGAGACACGGCCCAAACUCCUACGGGAGGCAGCAGUAGGGAAUCUUCGGCAAUGGACGAAAGUCUGACCGAGCAACGCCGCGUGAGUGAAGAAGGUUUUCGGAUCGUAAAACUCUGUUGGUAGAGAAGANCGUUGGUGAGAGUGGAAAGCUCAUCAAGUGACGGUAACUACCCAGAAAGGGACGGCUAACUACGUGCCAGCAGCCGCGGUAAUACGUAGGUCCCGAGCGUUGUCCGGAUUAAUUGGGCGUAAGCGAGCCCAGGUGGUUUAUAAAGUCUGGUGUAAAAGGCAGUGGCUCACCAUUGUAUGCAUUGGAAACUGGUAGACUUGAGUGCAC
This 601-nucleotide ribosomal RNA is filed under the name Lactococcus cremoris. RNAcentral's name for it is "bacterial SSU rRNA". It matches the Rfam family "Bacterial small subunit ribosomal RNA", at positions 62 to 651 of the family's 1533-position model. The record is from RNAcentral. Lineage: Bacteria; Bacillati; Bacillota; Bacilli; Lactobacillales; Streptococcaceae.